GCUUAGCCUUAAACCUAGAUAGUACCACAACCCACUAUCCGCCAGAGAAUUACAAGCGAAAAGCUUAAAACUCAAAGGACUUGACGGUGUCCCACAUCAACCUAGAGGAGCCUGUCCUAUAAUCGAUGACCCACGUUCAACCUUACCUGGUCUUGAAGCCCAUCCAGCCUAUAUACCGCCGUCUCCAGCCUACCUAAUGAUAGAAACAAUAGUAGGCAAAAUUAGCCCCACGCUAAAACGUCAGGUCAAGGUGUAGCAAAUGGCCAGGCAGAGAUGGGCUACAUUUUCUAGUUCUUAGACCACCACCAACGGCAACAUGAAACCUAGGCCCCAAAGGAGGAUUUAGUAGUAAUUUGGACAAGACCCCUCCAACUGAACCCCGCUCUGGGACGAGU
RNAcentral lists this ribosomal RNA (395 nucleotides) under Agamura persica. RNAcentral describes it as "partial 12S ribosomal RNA". It matches the Rfam family "Bacterial small subunit ribosomal RNA", at positions 794 to 1384 of the family's 1533-position model. Lineage: Eukaryota; Metazoa; Chordata; Lepidosauria; Squamata; Gekkonidae. The record is from RNAcentral.